This 432-nucleotide ribosomal RNA is filed under the name uncultured bacterium. RNAcentral's name for it is "partial 16S ribosomal RNA". It matches the Rfam family "Bacterial small subunit ribosomal RNA", at positions 338 to 795 of the family's 1533-position model. The record is from RNAcentral.
CCUACGGGAGGCAGCAGUGGGGAAUUUUGCGCAAUGGGCGAAAGCCUGACGCAGCAACGCCGCGUGCGGGAAGAAGGCCCUCGGGUUGUAAACCGCUUUCAGCAGGAACGCGGUACCUGCAGAAGAAGCCCCGGCCAACUACGUGCCAGCAGCCGCGGUGAUACGUAGGGGGCGAGCGUUGUCCGGAUUUAUUGGGCGUAAAGAGCUCGUAGGCGGUUCGGUAAGUCAGAUGUAAAAACUCCAGGCUCAACUUGGAGAGGCCAUCUGAUACUGCCGGACUAGAGUCCGGUAGAGGAGCACGGAAUUCCUGGUGUAGCGGUGAAAUGCGCAGAUAUCAGGAGGAACACCAGCGGCGAAGGCGGUGCUCUGGGCCGGACUGACGCUGAGGAGCGAAAGCGUGGGGAGCGAACAGGAUUAGAUACCCUUGUAGUC